Molecule: ribosomal RNA, 2256 nt
Filed under: Triticum aestivum (bread wheat)
Lineage: Eukaryota; Viridiplantae; Streptophyta; Magnoliopsida; Poales; Poaceae
Description: partial small subunit ribosomal RNA
Source: RNAcentral
ACUCCAAGCAAUGAGAGAAAUGACACCACGUUUGAUGAGAGUACAAACCAACCAAGAAUGCCUAUACUAGAAUUUCAUCCAAGUCAAAUUAUUGCUGAUCCAGGACUUAGAAUACCAAUAGAAGAUUAUGCCCCUGAAAUUAGAAGUGAUGUGAGAAGAGCUUAUUUGUUGAACAAGCGAAACAAAGCUAUUGGGCAUAAAUUCAAGAAGACAAAGGAUGGUAAAAUUUGGAGGUCCUUUCAACGUGCGUGGUUUGACAAUUUUGAUUGGUUGGAAUAUAGUGUGGAUAAGGAGGCUGCGUUUUGCUUUCAUUGCUUCCUUUUCAAGAAACCAUCCCAAGCCAUUAGAUUUGGCAAUGAUGUUUUCACAAAAAAUGGGUACACUCGUUGGAAAACAUGUUUAGCUAGUUUUGAAAAGCAUGUUGGUGGUCAAUCUAGUUACCACAACAUUGCUAGGGGAGAUUGUGAUGAUUUCAACAAUCAACGAGCAAGUGUGGCUACCAAAUUCCGAGUGUACAGCAAAGAGGCUGAGAUAUCUUAUAAAAUCCGCCUAACUGCAUCAUUGGAUUGUGCAAGGUAUCUCAUAGCACUAGGUGAAGCUUUUUGUGGGCAUGAUGAAUCCUCCACUUCCAUCAACAAGGGCAAUUUUAGAGAGUUAUUGGACUGGUAUAAGGACAAGAAGGAAGAUGUGAAGGAUGCAUUUGAUAAGGGGGCUAGAAAUGCACAAAUGAUUUGUUCUGACAUCCAAAAGGACCUUUCUACAGCUUGUGCGAUGGAGGUAACCAAAGUUAUUAAGAAUGACAUUGGACAUAAGAAUUUCUCAAUACUUAUUGACGAGGCUAGAGAUUGUUCAAUAAAGGAGCAAAUGGCGGUGAUUUUGAGAUUUCUAGAUGAUCAUGGAGUGCUCCAAGAGAGAUUCCUUGCCAUUAAGCACAUCACAGAUUGAGGGGAGUUCAAUGGUUUGCAAAAAUUGGUUAGAGAUGAAGCUCCGUAUGCAUUCUAUGUUCAUUGCUUUGUUCACCAGUUACAAUUGGUGGUUGUCACCGUUGCUCAAUGUAGUUGCUAUUCUGAUUUAUUCAAUUAUAUUCCCUUGAUAGUGACUCAAGUGUGUUCAUCUUGUAAAAGGAAAGAUGCAUUACUUGCCAAACAUCAAGAUGAAUUGUUAGAUUUGAUGGAGAACGGAAAGAUUUCAGCCGGUACCGGGUUGCAUCAAGAAUCUAACAUAACAAGACCAGGAGAUACUCGUUAGGGCUCACACCCCAAAACCUUGCUUCGUAUAUUCACAAUGUGGAAUGCUGUGGUGGAUGUGCUAGGAAUUGUUGUGGCUGAUGCUCGGGAACACACAUGCCAAGGUGGAGCUAGAGGUUUGCUUAAAAACAUGAAAUGCUUUGAAUUUGUGUUCAUCAUGUUCUUCUUAAUAAACUUGUUGAGCAACACAAAUCAACUAUCCCAAGCUUUGCAAAGGAAGAAUCAAAAUAUUGUUGAGGCCAUGCGUUUGAUCUUGGAUGUGAAACAAAGCUUGCAGGACAUGAGGGACAAUGGUUGGGAGCCUUUAUUUUGCCAAGCCAAGAACUUUUGUGAAACACAUGAUAUUGAUGUGCCAAACAUGGAUGAUCUUGUUGGAACAAUGGGCCAAUCUGUUCGCACUAAGAAUAAGGUGACUCGACUUCACUAUUACAAGGUUAGCAUAUUCAAUGUUGCCAUUGAUGCAACUAUCACAGAGAUGAAUCACCGAUUCAAUGAAUUUUCCACCGAGUUAUUAGAUUGCAUGUCUUGUCUUAAUCCAGCAAACAACUUUGCAAAGUUUGACGUUGACAAACUUAUUCGUCUUACUGAAAUUUAUGAUGAGGACUUCACAGAAGCUGACCGGUUGUUGCUAAGAGUACACCUCCCCAGAUUCCUUAUGAACAUUAGGAGAAGUGACGAGUUUAAUGGAUGUCGGGAUAUGUCCAUACUUGCUCGUUUGAUGGUUGAAACAACGAAACACACAACUUUCCAUUUGGUAUAUCACCUCAUUGAGUUGACACUCAUUUUUCCUGUAGCAACUUCAUCAGUUGAGCGAAUAUUUUCAGCAAUGAAGAUCAUCAAGACAGAUUUGCGCAACAAACUAUCAGAUGAUUGGCUAAAUGAUUUAAUGGUGUGCUAUUGUGAGAAAGAGAUAUUCAGAAGCAUUCACGAUGACAAAAUCAUGAUAUAAUUUCAGAAAAUGAGUGAUCAGAAAGGACAUUUGCCUUAUGAGUUUAAUGUGAUUCCUUAG